RNAcentral lists this ribosomal RNA (1317 nucleotides) under Diaethria gabaza eupepla. RNAcentral describes it as "16S ribosomal RNA". Lineage: Eukaryota; Metazoa; Arthropoda; Insecta; Lepidoptera; Nymphalidae. The record is from RNAcentral.
GGGGGAAAAAUUAAUAAAAUAAAAUUAAUAAAAAAAUUUUUAAGUAUAUUUAAUGGGGGUUAAAGUAUAUUUAUAGAAAUAAUAAAAAAUUUUAUAGUUAAUUAGUACUGUAAAGAAAUUUUUAAUAUUUUUUAUAAUUUAUAAAAAAGUAAAUUUUAAUUAUUGUAUCUUGUGUAUCAGAGUUUAUUAAAAAAUUUUUUUUAAUAAAAAAAAUCUCGAAUUUAAAAGAGAAAAUUAAUUAUAAAAAUUAAUGUUGAAUAAUUAUUUUAAAUAAUUAAUUUGAAAUGAAAUGUUAAUCGUUUUUAAAUAUAUCUAGUUUUUUUAGAAAAAAAUUUAAUUUUAUAUUUGAAUAAUUUAAUAAUUAAUUAAUUAAUUAUCAAAAUUCAAAAUUUAAUAUUUUAAGGGAUAAGCUUUAAAUUAAAUUUUUAUAAUAAUAAAGUAAUUUAAAUUAAAAUUUUAAAAUUUAUAUUAUUUAAAAAUUAUAAUUUAUUAUAAAUAAUUUAAUUUAAAAUAAAAUUUUAUUGAAAUUUAAUUUUUUAUUAAAAAAUAAUUUUAAAUAAAAUAAAAUUAGAAAUAAUGAUAAAAUUAGUAUAAGUAAUUAAUGUAUUAUUUAUUAAAUAAAAAAUUAAUUUAAAGGAAUUCGGCAAAAAUUUAUAUUCACUUGUUUAUCAAAAACAUGUCUUUUUGAUUAAUAAUUUAAAGUCUAAUCUGCCCACUGAUAUUUAUAUUAAAGGGCUGCAGUAUUUUGACUGUACAAAGGUAGCAUAAUCAUUAGUCUUUUAAUUGAAGACUUGUAUGAAAGAUUUGAUGAAAUAUAAACUGUCUCAAAAUUAUUUAUAGAAUUUAAUUUUUUAAUUAAAAAGUUAAAAUUUAAUUAAAAGACGAGAAGACCCUAUAGAGUUUUAUAAUUUAUAUUAUUUUAUGUUAAUAUAUAAUUAAAAUUUAUAAUUUUUUAAAUUAUUAUGUUGGGGUGAUAAAAAAAUAAAAAAAACUUUUUUUAAAAAUUUACAUAUAUAAUUGAAUAAGUGAUCCAUUAAUAGUGAUUAAAAGAAAAAAUUACCUUAGGGAUAACAGCGUAAUAUUUUUUUUUAGUACAAAUAAAAAAAAAAGUUUGCGACCUCGAUGUUGGAUUAAGAUAAAAUUUAAAUGCAAAAGUUUAAAAUUUUGAUCUGUUCGAUCAUUAAAAUCUUACAUGAUCUGAGUUCAAACCGGUGUAAGCCAGGUUGGUUUCUAUCUUUAAUAAUUUAUAAUAAUUUAGUACGAAAGGAUCAGUUAUUAAAAAUAAUUUUAAUAAAUGAAUAUUAUUAAUAAUAAUUA